Molecule: long non-coding RNA, 248 nt
Organism: Oncorhynchus keta (chum salmon)
Lineage: Eukaryota; Metazoa; Chordata; Actinopteri; Salmoniformes; Salmonidae
Exons: 3
Source: RefSeq, a predicted model, not a curated record
UCUGUCUCUCUCUCUUUCUGCAGCAUCGGACAACAGCCAGCGGUUUCAGGAAACGUGUUUUGCGUUCGCACUAACGCCGCAGCAAGUCCAACAGAUUAGCAGCUCAAUGGACAUCUCGGGGACCAAAUGUGACUUCACAGUACAAGUUCAAUUACGGUUUUGUCUCUCUGAGACGAGUUGUCCUCAGGAAGACCACUUUCCGCCCAAUCUGUGUGUGAAGGUGAACGGGAAGCCAUGCAACCUCCCGG